RNAcentral lists this unclassified non-coding RNA (332 nucleotides) under uncultured Pochonia. Its description in RNAcentral is "sequence contains ITS1". The stretch from base 1 to 105 matches the Rfam family "5.8S ribosomal RNA", at positions 50 to 154 of the family's 154-position model. The record is from RNAcentral. Lineage: Eukaryota; Fungi; Ascomycota; Sordariomycetes; Hypocreales; Clavicipitaceae.
GAAAUGCGAUAAGUAAUGUGAAUUGCAGAAUUCAGUGAAUCAUCGAAUCUUUGAACGCACAUUGCGCCCGCCAGUAUUCUGGCGGGCAUGCCUGUUCGAGCGUCAUUUCAACCCUCAAGCCCCAGCGGCCUGGUGUUGGGGACCGGCGACCUCGCUGACGCCCUUCUUGGGCCCAGCGUCCGCCGCCCCCGAAAUGAAUUGGCGGUCUCGUCGCGGCCUCCUCUGCGUAGUAGCACAACCUCGCAACAGGAGCGCGACGCGGCCACUGCCGUAAAACGCCCAACUUUUUUAGAGUUGACCUCGGAUCAGGUAGGAAUACCCGCUGAACUUAA